Molecule: ribosomal RNA, 432 nt
Filed under: Scheffersomyces stipitis
Lineage: Eukaryota; Fungi; Ascomycota; Pichiomycetes; Serinales; Debaryomycetaceae
Description: eukaryotic LSU rRNA
Rfam family: Eukaryotic large subunit ribosomal RNA
Source: RNAcentral
GAAAUCUGGCACCUUCGGUGUCCGAGUUGUAAUUUGAAGAAGGUAACUUUGGAGUCAGCUCUUGUCUAUGUUCCUUGGAACAGGACGUCACAGAGGGUGAGAAUCCCGUGCGAUGAGAUGUCUGAUUCUAUGUAAAGUGCUUUCGAAGAGUCGAGUUGUUUGGGAAUGCAGCUCUAAGUGGGUGGUAAAUUCCAUCUAAAGCUAAAUAUUGGCGAGAGACCGAUAGCGAACAAGUACAGUGAUGGAAAGAUGAAAAGAACUUUGAAAAGAGAGUGAAAAAGUACGUGAAAUUGUUGAAAGGGAAGGGUUUGAGAUCAGACUUGGUAUUUUGUAUGUCUUGCUUUCGGGUGGGGCCUCUACAGUUUACUGGGCCAGCAUCGGUUUGGACGGUAGGAUAAUGACAUUGGAAUGUGGCACCACUUCGGUGGUGUG